GUUUAUGAUGAUUUACCACUUUUUCACGACGGUCUACUGUUUGUGGUGACUUGUAAUCACCGCACAUUGAUGAAACACUCGGCCUUGACCGGCCGUGGUUCCUGAAC
This 107-nucleotide small nucleolar RNA is filed under the name Metschnikowia bicuspidata var. bicuspidata NRRL YB-4993. RNAcentral's name for it is "Small nucleolar RNA snR73". It matches the Rfam family "Small nucleolar RNA snR73". The record is from Rfam by way of RNAcentral. Lineage: Eukaryota; Fungi; Ascomycota; Pichiomycetes; Serinales; Metschnikowiaceae.